UCUCGGCAAAUUAUCCUCAUAAGUUUGACAAGAAGAGGAACCAUGAAUUUUAGUAAGUUAAUAACUCCUAUUAAUUUAUUUAUAUGGUGGCACAAAAUCGGAAGCCCCGACUGUUUACUAAAAACACAACUAUCUGCAAUUAUGAAAAUAAUAGUAUAGGUAGUGAGAUUUGCCCAAUGCCAUAUUAAUAAGUAAUAAUAAUGGGUAACUGUUUCUUUACAAACAAUUGGUUAAUAGCGGUCUUAACUAUGAGGAUCCUAAGGUAGCAAAAUAAAUUGGCCAUUAAAUGUGGUCCAGUAUCAAUAAUUUAACGAUGGCUUCACUGUCUCUACAACUUGCUCAGUGAAAUUGAAUUACCCGUGCAGAUGCGGGUUACCUCAAAGAGGACGGGAAGACCCUAUGCAGCUUCUACCUGA
This 416-nucleotide ribosomal RNA is filed under the name Phylloporus sp. 1 BKS-2015. RNAcentral's name for it is "LSU rRNA". It matches the Rfam family "Bacterial large subunit ribosomal RNA", at positions 1712 to 2108 of the family's 2925-position model. Lineage: Eukaryota; Fungi; Basidiomycota; Agaricomycetes; Boletales; Boletaceae. The record is from RNAcentral.